AAGUUGGAGCAUCCUCCUUAUAAACAGUGUUCCCUUUUUUUCUCCUUCUUUCCCCCUCUUGCCCACGUGUUCUCUUUUAUUACCCAUCAAACUGCCAUUUUCAUCAGUAAACAUCAAAAUAAAGAUCCUGUAUUAAACCGCCAUUUUCAUCCCUUUCUUUCUCCUUUUUUCCUCCUCCUGCCCACGUGUUCUCUUCCACGCCAUUUUCAUCAGUAAACUCAAACAACCAUUUACUUAUAUUAAUUUUACAAACGGAUCAAAACCAACAACGAUAUCGAAUAUCAUUCGAAUCAAUACGGGAAAAAAAUAAUUCACUAGAAAAGUUUAUUCUGCUGUUGCUGGUCUUCGGGUUUGUGUCUAAGCUCAUUAAGAGGUUCAUGCAGUCCAGCAAUUUGAGUUGCAGCUCAUGAAGCAAAAAGGUUAGGUCUCAAAAUUGAAUUUUAACAGUGGUAAGUGAGUUAAUUUGUUGUCCUUUGAAAGUUUUACUGUCCUUAUUGAUUUCGAAUUUGGGAGAUACGUCAUGGCAUUGGAACACAUCCCCGAGAAAGAUGUUUGGAGGCCCUAAUUAGUUUGGGAAACUGUGUUAUGGUGUGGUGUCUUGACAGAUUACAAAGCCAGUUUACGACAAUCAACUAUCGAGGCAUCUGCACUAGAGAUUGAAGCAUAUCCAUUGCUUGACAAACUAACAUCAAAGAUCAGUAUUUUAAAUUUAGAGCGUGUGCGCCGAUUGAAAAGAAGACUUGUUGCUUUAACUCGGAGAGUCUAGAAGGUUAGGGAUGAGAUAGAGCAGUUGAUGAAUGAUGAUGGGGAUAUGGUAGAAAUGUAUCUUACAGAGAAGAAGUUACGAAUGGAAAUGUCAAUGUAUGAUUCACGAAGACUAGAGAAAAGUUUCAGCUUAUCAAGAAGCCGUCAUGGAAGCAUGAGAAGUUCAGAAAGUGCUACAUAGGGUAUAGAAGAACUGAAAAUAUUGUUGGAAGCGUAUCUUGUGGUCAUUGACAGCACCUAUAACAAGCUUGCAUCGCCGAAGAAAUACAUUGAGGACACUGAAGAUUUCCUUAACAUUCGGUUGGUAUGUGUGGUUCAUGUUUAUGAAUAGAGAAAUGAGAAUAUGAAAUUGAACAUAGUUGAAGAAAGAGUGGAAAGGAUAACUAAAGGAAUUAGGCAUGUUGAUAAUCAGUUAAUAAGAGCCUCAGUUCUUGGCCCUUGUCUCCUGGUGUUUGAUCCUUUUUUUUUUUAGGCCAUGUUAGAGCUUUUAGUUUGACGAGUUACAGUUAUAUACUACAUA
Spinacia oleracea (spinach) is the source of this 1285-nucleotide long non-coding RNA. RefSeq lists it as uncharacterized. The record is from RefSeq and is a predicted model, not a curated record. NCBI's taxonomy places the organism in Eukaryota, Viridiplantae, Streptophyta, Magnoliopsida, Caryophyllales, Amaranthaceae. The transcript has 6 exons.